GAUGAAGAACGCAGCGAAAUGCGAUAAGUAAUGUGAAUUGCAAAAUUCAGUGAAUCAUCGAAUCUUUGAACGCACAUUGCGCCCGCCAGUAUUCUGGCGAGCAUGCCUGUUCGAGCGUCAUUUCAACCAUCAAGCCCCAGGCUUGUGUUGGAGCCCUGCGGCUGCCGCAGCCUCCCAAAACCAGUGGCGGGCUCGCUAUCACACCGAGUGCAGUAGUUUACUCUUCGCUCAGGGCGUGUGGCGGGUGCUAGCCGUGAAACCCCCAACUUCUCAAGGUUGACCUCGGAUCAGGUAGGAAUACCCGCUGAACUUAAGCAUAUCAAUAAGCGGAGGA
This 334-nucleotide unclassified non-coding RNA is filed under the name soil metagenome. RNAcentral's name for it is "partial contains 5.8S ribosomal RNA, internal transcribed spacer 2, and large subunit ribosomal RNA". The stretch from base 1 to 120 matches the Rfam family "5.8S ribosomal RNA", at positions 35 to 154 of the family's 154-position model. The record is from RNAcentral.